AUAUGUGAUUCAGAGGACUCCGCGAUGGACUAGUAUUUUGUUUUUUUUUUUUUUACGCUCUUCGAGUUGCAAGAGCAUUUUUGUUCGCCGUGAACUUGGCAUUUUGGUUCUAUAGUAUGAUUAGAAGCCCCGUUACAAUUUAUUAGCAGGGAAACGUUCCCUUUUUUACGCUUAAGAUGAAGCUCUUUUGUCAGCCACUUGGAAUUUUGGUUUUCGAUUUUUUUUUUUAGUUAAGUAGUUACAUAGGUAAAAAAAAUAGGUAUUCAAAAAAAUAUGUAUACUUAUAGGUGAUUCAGAGGACUCCACGAUGGCCCAGUAUUUUGUUUUUUUUUUACGCUCUUCGAGUUGCAGAGCAUUUUUGUUAGCCACGAACUUGGCAUUUUGGUUCUGUAUAUUUUUUUAGGAGUCCCGUUACAAUUCA
This is a long non-coding RNA of Maniola jurtina (meadow brown), 421 nucleotides long. RefSeq lists it as uncharacterized. The record is from RefSeq and is a predicted model, not a curated record. NCBI's taxonomy places the organism in Eukaryota, Metazoa, Arthropoda, Insecta, Lepidoptera, Nymphalidae. The transcript is spliced from 2 exons.